CCUACGGGCGGCAGCAGUGAGGAAUAUUGGUCAAUGGUCGGGAGACUGAACCAGCCAAGCCGCGUGAGGGAUGAAGGUACAGAGUAUCGUAAACCUCUUUUGUCAGGGAACAAAGGCGGGGACGUGUCCCCGGAUGAGUGUACCUGAAGAAAAAGCAUCGGCUAACUCCGUGCCAGCAGCCGCGGUAAUACGGAGGAUGCGAGCGUUAUCCGGAUUUAUGGGGUUUAAAGGGUGCGCAGGCGGUCUGUUAAGUCAGCGGUCAAAGCCCGGGGCUCAACCCCGGCCCGCCAUUGAAACUGGCAGUCUCGAGUUGGAGAGAAGUAUGCGGAAUGCGCGGUGUAGCGGUGAAAUGCAUAGAUAUCGCGCAGAACUCCGAUUGCGAAGGCAGCAUGCCGGCUCCACACUGACGCUGAGGCACGAAAGCGUGGGUAUCGAACAGGAUUAGAUACCCGGGUAGUC
Molecule: ribosomal RNA, 459 nt
Filed under: uncultured bacterium
Lineage: Bacteria
Description: partial 16S ribosomal RNA
Rfam family: Bacterial small subunit ribosomal RNA
Source: RNAcentral